Molecule: ribosomal RNA, 418 nt
Filed under: uncultured soil bacterium
Lineage: Bacteria
Description: bacterial SSU rRNA
Rfam family: Bacterial small subunit ribosomal RNA
Source: RNAcentral
AGAAUGAACGCUGGCGGCGUGCUUUACACAUGCAAGUUGAGCGAGGCCACCCGCAAGGGUGAGUCGAGCGGCGAACGGGUGAGUAACGCGUGGAUAACCUGCCCUUUAGUGGGGAAUAACCCGGGGGAAACUCGGGCUAAUACCGCAUAAGACCGAGAGGUGAAAGCGGGGUCGCAAGAUCUCGUGCUAAGUGGGAGGGGUCCGCGUUCGAUUAGCUAGUUGGUAGGUAAUGGCCUACCAAGGCGACGAUCGAUAGCCGGCCUGAGAGGGUGAUCGGCCACACUGGAACUGAGACACGGUCCAGACUCCUACGGGAGGCAGCAGGUGGGGUAAUUUGGCGACAGUGGGCUAACGCCUGACGCGAGACCACGGCCGCGGUAGGAGGAUGGAAGGUUCGUUUAGGAUUAGGUAAACUUCC